UGGUUACCAUUAUAAGUAUUGAUUGUUGGGCUCGCACAGUCAUUGGAACGUAAGCCUUUAAAUUGAGUGUUGAACCCAUUUUUAUCACGUGGACGCCUGCCUCAGGCUGGGGAUAACAUUUGUAAACAGAUGCUAAUACCGAAUAAAACUUAGUGUCGCAUGACACAAAGUUAAAAGGCGCUUCGGCGUCACCUAGAGAUGGAUCCGCGGUGCAUUAGUUAGUUGGUGGGGUAAAGGCCUACCAAGACAAUGAUGCAUAGCCGAGUUGAGAGACUGAUCGGCCACAUUGGGACUGAGACACGGCCCAAACUCCUACGGGAGGCUGCAGUAGGGAAUCUUCCACAAUGGGCGAAAGCCUGAUGGAGCAACGCCGCGUGUGUGAUGAAGGCUUUCGGGUCGUAAAGCACUGUUGUAUGGGAAGAACAGCUAGAAUAGGAAAUGAUUUUAGUUUGACGGUACCAUACCAGAAAGGGACGGCUAAAUACGUGCCAGCAGCCGCGGUAAUACGUAUGUCCCGAGCGUUAUCCGGAUUUAUUGGGCGUAAAGCGAGCGCAGACGGUUUAUUAAGUCUGAUGUGAAAGCCCGGAGCUCAACUCCGGAAUGGCAUUGGAAACUGGUUAACUUGAGUGCAGUAGAGGUAAGUGGAACUCCAUGUGUAGCGGUGGAAUGCGUAGAUAUAUGGAAGAACACCAGUGGCGAAGGCGGCUUACUGGACUGCAACUGACGUUGAGGCUCGAAAGUGUGGGUAGCAAACAGGAUUAGAUACCCUGGUAGUCCACACCGUAAACGAUGAACACUAGGUGUUAGGAGGUUUCCGCCUCUUAGUGCCGAAGCUAACGCAUUAAGUGUUCCGCCUGGGGAGUACGACCGCAAGGUUGAAACUCAAAGGAAUUGACGGGGACCCGCACAAGCGGUGGAGCAUGUGGUUUAAUUCGAAGCAACGCGAAGAACCUUACCAGGUCUUGACAUCCUUUGAAGCUUUUAGAGAUAGAAGUGUUCUCUUCGGAGACAAAGUGACAGGUGGUGCAUGGUCGUCGUCAGCUCGUGUCGUGAGAUGUUGGGUUAAGUCCCGCAACGACCGCAACCCUUAUUGUUAGUUGCCAGCAUUCAGAUGGGCACUCUAGCGAGACUGCCGGUGACAAACCGGAGGAAGGGGGGGGACGACGUCAAAUCAUCAUGCCCCUUAUGACCUGGGCUACCCCCGUGCUACAAUGGGCGUUUACAACGAAGUUGCCAACCCCCGAGGGGGAGACUAUUUUUUUAUGUACGUCCCCAUUUCGGUUUUUAUUUUGCCACCCCAACUCUAUGAAGUCG
Molecule: ribosomal RNA, 1314 nt
Filed under: Leuconostoc mesenteroides
Lineage: Bacteria; Bacillati; Bacillota; Bacilli; Lactobacillales; Lactobacillaceae
Description: bacterial SSU rRNA
Rfam family: Bacterial small subunit ribosomal RNA
Source: RNAcentral